CACAGCCAUUUGCAUCCAGUGCCUGAGACAGGCGCCUGGGCUAGAGAGAUGAAUCUCUGGUCCAAACCAGACUUAACGCUUUUAGCUAUAUUCAUGAACUUGAGUAAAAGAUGUGAGCUACUCCAAAAGCAAUGCCUCCUAUUUUAUUCUGUUGGCCCACAGUAUCAGAGACAGAUGUUGGUGGGAUGGCAGUAGUGAUGGAAUCUUCCCACCAAUGUCCCAUUAUGUUGUGUUGCCAUGGGACAGGUGGCAGCAGAGGAGCACUCUGACAGAGCGAUGUCUGACUUCUGUAUGGAGCGAAGGGGUGGGACUGAAUUCCUCCUUGCAAACAAAAAAACAAACAACAACAACAACAACAAACCCCAGCACCCACGGAUAUUCAUCAAUGUUUGCUGAAAGUUGAUGGAGACCAACCAGUGGAUUUUCCAUGUAAAAUAUUGGAGGCACUGCUUUUGGAGGGACCUAUGCACAUACAUGCUGGAAGAGAAAGAAGGCAUGCCUACUGCUCUUUUCUGAAUGCUGAUACCAGGUUUACUUCAGUCAUGCUGAGAAGAAAAAAAGAGCAGAGCAGAUGGUCAUGACAGAUGAAGACAGCAGCCAACACUUCCCUUCAAGCAGAAGGACCAUUUAAACCUAAAUGAACUAGUCACUUGAGUGAUGUGGAGUGCUAUCAGGUAGAAGAUCUGGCCUCAUUACAGAAGGAAAACUACAGCAGUCCUUGGCAUAGAGGAAUUGGGUGCUGCAGAGUCCAACUUCCUUGUGCAGUGUGCUAUGACCAAAGAAGAGAGCUCAGAGCUUGUUUUAGGCAGCAUAUGAUCUGCAAGAGCCUGAAAGAGCCAGUGCAGGCAAACUGGGAACCCAGCAUGAGCUGAAAACAGACCACGUCUUCAAACUCUACAGUCUGUUGCCCACUGCAGCUUUACUAUCCUGCAGAUAGGCAGCAAGACCACCUCUUUAAAAACGAGUGGGAUAACAUUUCCUAGCUGCUGCUUGCUGCUGGACCCGGCCCUCUGGAACCACCCAGCAGACAGACAGUUUGUUCCUGUGGCCUUUAUUUCCUAGCAGGGAACAGGCUAUGGGUGACGUCUUUUUUUCCUUGAACUGGCAUUUUUUAAUUCAUUUGUUAUUUUACCUCAGCUACUUCGGUAACAUGGAAGAAGAGUUGCUUCAAUUAACUGCGAAAGAAGUGGAUGUCUCAUAUUUAACUGUCUCACUUGUUCAUGUGCUUUCAAACCUGCAUCUUUUAGUUUCAAUGAAAAAAUCUAAUAUGUUAGAGACUUCUCUACAUGAGAUAAUUUCUUAAUUGAAAAGACCAAUAACUUGAAGUUUGUCACAGAAUACACUCAAGUCUUGCUGGAGUACAUGGAUUUCUCUCACAAGUGCUUCAUGUUACAUCUCAGCUAAAAACUCUUGCAUUCAGCUGAGCACUCAUGCAUUCUUUCAUAUUUAUUGACAUCAUAAACCAUGCACUGCAGCCUGAUCUCUAGAAUUUGUUGACUGAAUCUUUGUCUUUGCUGCUUGUCCAGAUGUAAACAAGAUUGAUUCACACACAAGGAAGGGCAAAGUGUCUUCUAUAAUGCUGUAAUCCCUUGCUGACAAUCAUUUGACUAGGACAGAGAAUUUUGCAUUUAAAAGUAGUUGAGAUUUGCUUUUCUGAAUAAUUACUGUGAUUGCCUGAGGCUCCUUUUUUGAAAUAUCAGAGAGGAGAUAGUUUCAGUAGCUUGAUAAUAAACUGGACAACAACUGGCAUUUUAAUUCUGCUCCCAAUCAAUAAUGACAAAGUCUGACCUUGUGCAGAACUUAUAAGUAGACAUUUGUGA
Long non-coding RNA from Gallus gallus (chicken), 1820 nucleotides. RefSeq lists it as uncharacterized. The record is from RefSeq and is a predicted model, not a curated record. Lineage: Eukaryota; Metazoa; Chordata; Aves; Galliformes; Phasianidae. The transcript is spliced from 3 exons.